GUCAGGAUGGCCGAGCGGUCUAAGGCGCUGCGUUCAGGUCGCAGUCUACUCUUGUAGAUGUGAGUUCGAAUCCCACUUCUGACA
Molecule: transfer RNA, 84 nt
Filed under: Orbicella faveolata
Lineage: Eukaryota; Metazoa; Cnidaria; Anthozoa; Scleractinia; Merulinidae
Description: tRNA-Leu
Rfam family: tRNA
About the family: Transfer RNA (tRNA) molecules are approximately 80 nucleotides in length. Their secondary structure includes four short double-helical elements and three loops (D, anti-codon, and T loops). Further hydrogen bonds mediate the characteristic L-shaped molecular structure. tRNAs have two regions of fundamental functional importance: the anti-codon, which is responsible for specific mRNA codon recognition, and the 3' end, to which the tRNAs corresponding amino acid is attached (by aminoacyl-tRNA synthetases). tRNAs cope with the degeneracy of the genetic code in two manners: having more than one tRNA (with a specific anti-codon) for a particular amino acid; and 'wobble' base-pairing, i.e. permitting non-standard base-pairing at the 3rd anti-codon position.
Source: RNAcentral